UACGUAGGGAGCAAGCGUUGUCCGGAAUCAUUGGGCGUAAAGCGCGCGUAGGCGGCCUCAUAAGUCCGUUGUGAAAGUCAAAGGCUCAACCUUUGAAAGCCGAUGGAUACUGUGAGACUAGAGUACGGAAGAGGCGAGUGGAAUUCCUGGUGUAGCGGUGGAAUGCGCAGAUAUCAGGAGGAACACCAAUAGCGAAGGCGGCCCCCUGGACCGGUACUGACGCUGAGGCGCGAAAGCGUGGGUAGCAAACGGG
This 253-nucleotide ribosomal RNA is filed under the name uncultured bacterium. RNAcentral's name for it is "partial 16S ribosomal RNA". It matches the Rfam family "Bacterial small subunit ribosomal RNA", at positions 524 to 776 of the family's 1533-position model. The record is from RNAcentral.